Molecule: long non-coding RNA, 401 nt
Filed under: Carica papaya (papaya)
Lineage: Eukaryota; Viridiplantae; Streptophyta; Magnoliopsida; Brassicales; Caricaceae
Description: long non-coding RNA (CPAP_LNC015978)
Source: RNAcentral
GCAUACAAAGCAGGCAAAAUAACUCUUAUAUUAAAUUUGCUUAUCUAAAAAUACUCUUUAAGGUGUUGAAAGUAAUACUAGAUACCUUAGUAAAACUUUGAUGAUUUCUUUUUCACCAUUUUUUUCUUUCUCUUCUUCUCUCACUAAUUUAUUAUCUCUCUCUCUUUCUUUAAACCUUUAAAAAUGGAAGAAAUAGAAGUGUAGAGACGAAGGGAAAGGGGCAAUUUAUAGAAUUUAGAACCGUUAGAUUCAUGAAAAGUGGCAAAAUCCAGUAAAGAGAGAGAAAAAGAUUCUUAACACAAAAAACGAGAGAGGAGGACCUCCUCCACUAGCGAGGAUGACGCGUUGCCCAAGGCAGCAGCGAUGCACUGCCUGAGGUGGCAGUGCCUAGCUGGCCCACU